RNAcentral lists this long non-coding RNA (1023 nucleotides) under Felis catus (domestic cat). Its description in RNAcentral is "lncRNA (ENSFCAG00000053388.1)". Lineage: Eukaryota; Metazoa; Chordata; Mammalia; Carnivora; Felidae. The record is from RNAcentral.
UUCAAUUUGAAAACCUUUCUGUGGCUCCCUAUUGUCCUCUAGAUAAAGCCCAGCUAGUUAUUGUGGCCUACAAAACCCUUUAUGAUUUGUUUAUUGCUCCCUUCUUCAGACUCAUCACAUGGACCAAUCCUCUUCCUGGCCACAUCCUUCACUUCUAAGCUGCAGCCACACCGAACUACAGAUGUGGUCUAAUUACGAACAGAUAAAACAGAUGAACAGUCUUCACAAAAUAUCUCAAAAACCAAGUGCAAAUUUAGCAAACAAGCCACAGACUAAAAUAAUCCCAUAACUGAAAUGAAAAUGCCUGAUGGAUAAAAGCUGAUGCAUUUUGCUCUGGAAGGUGUCUUUGAGCACAUCAGUGAGUGUAUUAGUUAUCUAUUGCCGAAUAACCCCCCACAUUUAGCAACUUGAAACAUUAAAUAUUUGUUAUCUAUCAUGCACUAUUUCUGUGAAUCAGGAAUCCGGAGUGGCUUCUUUGGAUGGUUCUGGCUCAAGGCCUUUUAAGAGAAUGUAGUCAAGAUAUUGGCCUAGGUUACAGUCAACUGGGCCUGGAAAAUGUGUUUCCAAGAAGGUUCACUCACAUGGCUAUUGGCAUGAGGCCCCGGUUCCUUGCCACAAUGACUUCUCCAUAGGCUGUUUGGGUGUCUUCAUGACCUGGUAGCAUCCCCCAGAGCAAAUGAUCCAAAAGAGAGCAAGACAGAAGCCAUGGUGUCUUUUAAUGCCUAACUUCAGAAGACACACACCAUAGUUUCCACACUAUCCUAUUGGUGACACAGGUUACUCGUAAUCAGUUUUGGAGGGGACAGCACAAGAGUGUGGAUACUAGCAGCUGUGGAUCAUUGGGGGCCAUCUUGGAGGCUGGCUACUGGGAUAAGUAUUUGUAAGUUGCAAAUGUAGGGGCACCUGGGUGGCUCAGUCAGAAGAGCAUGCGACUCUUGGUCUCAGGGUUAUGAGUUUGAGCCCCACGUUGGGUGUAAAGAUUACUUAAAUAAAUAAAAUAAAAAUAAAAAAGAAUAUGUAAGU